GCCCGCGUCUGAUUAGCUAGUUGGUAAGGUAACGGCUUACCAAGGCGACGAUCAGUAGCCGACCUGAGAGGGUGAUCGGCCACAUUGGGACUGAGACACGGCCCAAACUCCUACGGGAGGCAGCAGUGGGGAAUAUUGCACAAUGGGGGAAACCCUGAUGCAGCGACGCCGCGUGAAGGAAGAAGUAUUUCGGUAUGUAAAGGUCUAUCAGCAAGGAAGAAAAUGACGGUACCUGACUAAGAAGCCCCGGCUAACUAC
This 258-nucleotide ribosomal RNA is filed under the name uncultured bacterium. RNAcentral's name for it is "partial 16S ribosomal RNA". It matches the Rfam family "Bacterial small subunit ribosomal RNA", at positions 229 to 504 of the family's 1533-position model. The record is from RNAcentral.